AACCGCCCUUGAACCCCAUCUCCUCUCUAAUUCUCUCUAAUACUAAAACCUAACCUUAUCAGCCUCCCUCCGGUUACCACUCAGAACCGCCUGAAUCCAUGGGUUCCGAAGUCAUUGAAGGCCAAUACCUACCUCCUAUGGCUCAUGCAUGCCCGUCGUUUGAAGGAUCGAGCCUGGACCUCGAGGGUCUUCACUCAGACCUUCAUCUGUUUGAAGAUUCCAGCCAUCUCCGGCCUUUUCUCCGGUGGAUCUUGGUCUUUUGAACCUGAUUGUGAUAUCACCUGGCUUAGAUCGUGACUUUUCCAGGCUUUCUCGCUUCUAGGGUUCUUCUGAAACCCUAGACCUUCGAGGUUCUUCUGAUUUUCUCUAGAUCUGUUAUAGUUCUGUGUUUAUUUUAAGGUUUCAAACAAUUUCCCAAAGUUUCUUUCAAAAGUUUGCUUUCAAACCUUUCAUCUUCUCUGACUUAGGGUUUCUCUGAUUUUACAUACUCUACUUCUUAUGUGUUUUCUUCUAAUGUGGUUUCUUCUACCUUGUUAUUCCUGCCUGAUUUACUUUCUUUUGUCUCUACACUCGAUUAAUGGUAAGUUCCUAGAAUUUGGGGGUUUCACUCGAGUUUUGAGGUCGCUUAGUACAUGAUUUGCUUGCGGCUUAUCUCUGAACGUGUUUGAUUUCAAAACCCUAUAUGUGGACCUAUUUGAGCUCCUGAAGUUGUUUUCAUCUACUAUUCUCGUUCUUCAUGUGAUUCUGACUUCUCACUAAACCCUGCAAGACCUUUUUUUUACUUGACCUUUUGCAUGCUAUCUGAUAUUCCCUCUUCUCUGUAGUCCACUACUCGCUUAUUUUGAUUGUAUGACACUUUUCUUUGUUUGAAAUCCAGCCCCGCAUGUUCAAUGUUUAUACAUUCUUUAUAUGAUGAAUUUAUCUCUAGAAUGACUUUUAAUUUUGGACUGAUUUCGGAUUUCCUUGUGUAAGCAUGAUUGGUUCUUUCAUUAUUUAAUUUGAAAACUCUCUUUAACCUUUCAAUUCCCCUAGUUCUGACUUGGUUUAUUAGUGACUUUUGAAAAACUGAUUCCUUGAUUUACUAUGUACUAAUUGAUUUACUUUGUUCUUACCUUAUUUACUUAACCGUGUGUUUCAUAUUUUCCUUCCCCUAAUUAACACCCCUAUGUAUUUACCCCUUAUUUAUAUGAAAUGCACAAUAUGUUUACUUGAUCUCUUUCCUUAAAAUAACUUCUGCCCUUUACCGUUCAAAUUUGAACUCCUUAAUUAAAGGAAUUUUUGCUACUGACUGAUUCUAUUUUAUACAUGAUUAUUUUCUUGCCUUAUUCUUUGUCUGAUUUCAAAAUAUAAAUACCUGCUCCUUUCUUAACACAAACACAAUCAAUACUCGAGUUUUUCUGAACUCACACUCACAUACAAAAAUAUUUCUUUUGUUGUUUGUACUGUAGCCUGUUACAAGAUUUCUGCUUUCUUUUCUUUCUGAAACUGGUAUGUUCUAGUUCUAAUUCCAUCCCCAACUCCAAUUUGCUUACUUACCAGUUCUUAUGUCCAUGUUUACUUUAAUAUCUGAAGUAUUUAAUCUUUGUGCAAUAUGCUUAUAUCAUGCUAACUUAUUGUAAUGGAUCAUUUUCCUAUAUCCCCCAUGUGUUUUGAGCUAUGGUUCAAAAACAUGGCAAUAUAUCUGAAGUUAUUGUCCAUGAAUAUGAAUUGGACCCUUUAGGUCCUAAGCUCUUUCAAUUUCCCAUCCCCCAUUCUCUUACUAUGUGUGCUGAGUUAAAGCUUUGGCAUGACAGUAUUCUAAUUACUGCCCAAGCCAUGGAUCGACCUUCAAUAGGUCCGUACUCUCUAAUGUUUGGCUAACAGGUUUGGUCAAGGGUGUGCUAGUACUUCAUGUUGUUGGGCAUGACCACCAGCCUACCUUGAAAUCCUCUAGUUCCCUCUAUUGCACUUACACUUUUUCCUAGAAUCUAAGUUUUGCCCCCUCUUGGGAGCCUUUCCUUGGGCCCAUGAGCUCCAUCUGAACUUGGAUGCUUGAGGGCUGGUCCUUUCACACUACACUUUAAUUCAAUUCUUUGAUGAUAUCUGGGUGUAAGCAUUGCCUGUGGUCCUUGAGAUCCCUUGGAACUUUGAUGCACUCCAAGUAAGCGAGAAGCCUUGGAAAUCUUGAUCCCGGAAGUUUGGUUCAUUUCAUGUUGUUAGAUAUUAAGUAUGAAUUAGGUUGUUUGGAUGUAGCUGUAAUUUCUGAUGUAAUUUAUUUCAGUUUGAUUCACUUGGUCUGUAAUAAUUUGUAAAACUUAUGUGGCUUUUGUAAAGAAAGGGAGGGGGAUUUAUUGUAUGCAUAAGGGUAGAUAUCCUGCCUAUAUGGUUUGCUUCUGAAUUUUUGCACUUUCACAUAUAGAAACCAUGUAUAUAGGAAUUCUGCAUAUCGUAUAGAAACCAUAUAUUCUGCAUAUCAUAUAGAAAUCAUGUUUAUAAGCUUAUGCAUAUGCAUAUAGAAAUCAUGCCUAUAAGUUUUUCUGCACUUCUGCAUAUAGAGAUUCUGCUUAUAAGUUCUUCUGCACUUCUGCAUAUAGAGAUUCUGCCUAUAACUUUAUGCAUCUGCAUAUAGAGAUCUUGCCUAUAAGCUUCUUCAUUUUUGCAUCUACGUGUGUCAUUAGGCGAACAGUCUAUUGGUUUAACAAUAGCAACAAGCUGCAUUAUAGAUACCAUGCUCGUAGAAUUUCUUCACUCUUGCUAACAUGUGUAAAAGGU
Molecule: long non-coding RNA, 2751 nt
Filed under: Nicotiana benthamiana
Lineage: Eukaryota; Viridiplantae; Streptophyta; Magnoliopsida; Solanales; Solanaceae
Description: long non-coding RNA (NBEN_LNC019268)
Source: RNAcentral